This is a long non-coding RNA of Oncorhynchus tshawytscha (Chinook salmon), 892 nucleotides long. RefSeq lists it as uncharacterized. NCBI's taxonomy places the organism in Eukaryota, Metazoa, Chordata, Actinopteri, Salmoniformes, Salmonidae. The transcript is spliced from 3 exons. The record is from RefSeq and is a predicted model, not a curated record.
GAAGAAACUCAUUGCAGUUCAAGGUGAGUGUGUAGUUACACAUGUAAGAUAAAAAUAAAACUGUUUUGAUAAGCUGUGUAGCUCCCAAUCCUUUCUCUCUCCACGUGAUAUAGGGGUGUCUUUCCCUCGACCAGCACUGCCACCAACAGAUAUAUCAGACGCAGAGCUGGUCAAAGCAGCUGAUGACAUAGACACAUCCCAAGGAAAUGUAUUGGUAAGAGUCAUCUGGGUUUUAGAGGAGAGUCACUGCAUGUAUGCACUAUUACAUAUCUUACCUUGCCACUGUAGCUGUCAUCCUGUAUGUAGCUGUCAUCCUGUAUGUGGCUGUCAUCCUGCAUGUAGCUGUCAUCCUGCAUGUAGCUGUCAUCCUGUAUGUCACGUAAUCAUGACUUUCUAUUUUCCAUUUUAAUCACUAAUUUCAUUUAAGUUUUUUACACUCACACUUGACCAACACUCAUUUAAUUAUUUUGUUACAUCCUAUCACUGAUUGAUAUUCAUCUGGGCAUGUUGGAAUUGUGCUAUUAACUUAAUCACUGUUAUCUACAUUUGUAAUAUGUCUGUUCAUUCAUGCAAGCAUUUAUUCAUUAAUUUAACCUAUUUAUUUCUGUGUCACUGCAAAAGCCGUAGCCCUACAGCUCCACCCAUCGCUCCCUCGGCCUCUGCCUCCAAAUGACCGAGCCCCGGUCCCUGCCCCGGUUCCUGACCCGGCCCCUGCUCCUGCCCUACUAGGGCGGAGCGAAGAGGAGGAUUUGCCCCGGCAGUCCUUCCUGCCUCCAAGGCCCGCCUCAGAAAGUGCUGAGCUGCUGCUUCCAGAGAGUUGGCGUUCAUCUCUCACCAAGGAGCAGCAGCGGUGGAUCGGCCGCACGCGGUUCACCAGGAACAGCUUUGGGAG